Molecule: ribosomal RNA, 253 nt
Filed under: uncultured bacterium
Lineage: Bacteria
Description: partial 16S ribosomal RNA
Rfam family: Bacterial small subunit ribosomal RNA
Source: RNAcentral
UACGGAGGGUGCAAGCGUUGUCCGGAAUCACUGGGCGUAAAGGGCGCGUAGGCGGCUCAUGAAGGCUGUGGUGAAAGUCCGGGGCUCAACCUCGGAUCGGCCGUGGCGACUCGUGGGCUGGAGCACUGUAGAGGCGGGUGGGAUUCCGGGUGUAGCGGUGGAAUGCGUAGAGAUCCGGAAGAACACCAGUGGCGAAGGCGGCCCGCUGGGCAGUGGCUGACGCUGAGGCGCGACAGCGUGGGGAGCAAACAGG